This 369-nucleotide ribosomal RNA is filed under the name uncultured soil bacterium. RNAcentral's name for it is "bacterial SSU rRNA". It matches the Rfam family "Bacterial small subunit ribosomal RNA", at positions 26 to 400 of the family's 1533-position model. The record is from RNAcentral.
AGAUUGAACGCUGGCGGCAUGCCUUACACAUGCAAGUCGAACGGCAGCAUGACGUGUAGCAAUACACGUUGAUGGCGAGUGGCGAACGGGUGAGUAAUAUAUCGGAACGUGUCCUGUAGCGGGGGAUAACCUAUCGAAAGAUGGACUAAUACCGCAUACGCUCUACGGAGGAAAGGCGGGGUCGCAAGACCUCGCACUAUAGGAGCGGCCGAUAUCGGAUUAGCUAGUUGGCGGGUAAAGCCCACAAGGCGACGAUCCGUAGCUGGUCUGAGAGGAUGAUCACGCCACACUAGGAACUGACGACACGGUCCAGACUCCGUACGGGAGCAGCAGGUGGGAAUAGUUGGAACAAGUGGGACGUAAAGCCGU